UUUUGAAAGGUUUAUAUCUCCCAAUGUCCUUUCACUUCAGCUCUGAUGAUUGGAUUCCUGUUUUACUUACUGCAGAAUUAACUGUACAAUAUCAUGCUUACAUGUUCAGUGAGGAUGAAGUAAAUGGGCAUUAUCAAAGAUUGUUGAUGGGGUUGUAAUUAGUAUAAUCCCUUUUGAGGUCACUUGGGUAGUACCUAUCAAAAUAAAUGUGCAUGUUAUCCAGCAAUCCCAUAUCUAGAAAUUUAUCUGACUGAAAUAUUCUGACUUGUGUGCAAAGACACACACAGGUACACAAACAUAUAAUGGUAGGGAAUUGGUUGGCUCGACUGGUACAUUUGUAACUAUUCAGCCCUAGAGUAAAAGUAAGGGAAAUCUAUCUGUAUGACAUGAUAUGGCAAGAUGCCCCUAACAUGUUACGUACAAAAAGGCAGAUUGUAUGUGUCCUGGAUGUGUCACAAGAAGAUGUGUAUACUUACCCAUUUAAGAACUAAUUUUAGGUAUACAGAAAAAGUCUGGAAGAUUAUACCUCAGUUAUUUAUGUUUGCCAUGGGAGAGGAAAUUUUUACUUUCUGUGCAUUUAUAUUUAGGAUUUUUGUCAUCAGGAAUUAUCACUUUUUGACUGAAUAAAAGUUUUUAAAAUAUGCUCACAUUAAAGUUUUUCAAAUUUUACAAUGAAAAAAUGACAAUGAAAAAUCAGUAGAAAAAGAAAUGCAUGUAUCAAAUGAUGAUGUGAACUAUCAACACAAUUAAAUUUGUUAUUGCUUUUCUGAGUAUUUUUUCUUUAAUUGAGAAGAUUCAAAUUUUGGAUGAAAUCGUGGAGGGAGUUAACUUAAAGAUUACCUUUGCUUUUGUCUUGAGUCCUAGAUGUCCUCCUAACCUAGUUCUGAAGUAGAUUAUUGUAUUCAGCUUGUUAAUAGAUUUUUUUUUUUUUUUCUGAACUGCUGUUUUUCCAACUUUGUUUUAAGGAAUAAACAUCAUCCUGACCUUCAUCUCUGGGCUUGUUCUGGGAAGCGAAAAGACCAAGAUCAAAUAAUAGCUGGGGUGGAGAAAAAAAUAGCUCAAGACACAGUUAAUCGAGAAGAAAAGAAAUAUGUACAGAACCAUAAAGAACCACCUCGUUUGCCCCUAAAAAUGGAAGGAACUUAUAUAACAAGUGAGCAUAGCUAUCAAAAGCCACAAAGUUUUGGUCAGGACUGUAAAUCUCUCGCAGACCCUGGGAGCUCAGAUGAUGAUGAUGUUAGUAGUUUGGAAGAAGAACAAGAAUUCCAUAUGAGAAGUAAAAACAGUUUACAGUACUCAGCAAAAGAACACGGAAUGCCUGAAAAGAAUCCAGCUGAAGGGAAUACAGUAUUUGUUUGUAAUGAUAAAAAGGGCACCGAAGACCCAGGAGACUCACAUCUUCAGUGGCAGCUCAAUCUCCUUACACACAUAGAAAAUGUGCAGAACGAAGUUACCAGCAGGAUGGACCUAAUAGAAAAAGAAGUCGAUGUUCUGGAAAGCUGGCUUGAUUUCACAGGGGAGUUGGAGCCACCAGAUCCUCUUGCAAGAUUGCCCCAACUUAAACGCCACAUAAAGCAGCUCCUAAUUGACAUGGGCAAAGUACAGCAGAUAGCAACUCUUUGCUCUGUAUGACAACAGUGAACACUUAAUGAAAGAAUGUGGCUUUCUUCAGUCAAAGCAUUUUUAUUAUCCACGUGAUGGCUAAGUGGAUAAUUUAAAAGCUUAGUAAUGUCUGGUCAUUCACUGAUUUGUGAUGUCAAUAGGAUGGCACCUUGGAAAGAAAAAUGAAGAACAACUUUAUCAAGGAAGCUAGUAUUUAAAAACAAAUUCAUGAGCAAGCUGCAAAUGAGAAUGUGUUAUAUGCCAAGGAACAAUGAAGUAGAAUAUAAUGUAUACUAAGGGAUUUCAAGUUCGCAGAAUUUUUGAGUAGUUGCUUACGUGAAGCUCAAGAUACCUGUAGAAAGAAAUAUGGUAUAUUUAUAUAGUUUUUAAUAGAAAGAUCUAUGUUUAUAAACCAGCACUUGGCCAAAAACAAAAUUGUAAAGGAAAUUUAAAUUCUGGAGAAUUCUACAGGGUUGCUCUAAGAACUGUCUUCUCAGCAGUUGAUCCAGCUGUACGGAAAUUUAGGGUAUUUAAACUUUUAAAGGAUCAUGAGCUGUUUCUUGGGCGAUGAAUGUUCUUAAUCAGAAAACUGACAGUAGAAAUCUCACUUCUGGGGAAAACAGUUGUGGAAUUCUUACUUCAUUAUGAAUGUAUUUAAAAAACAAACACCAAAUAAUUGGAAUAUAUUGCAGGCAUUAAGCUCAUUAAAAACAAACUGGCUUGCAGAAGGGUCCGAUGUGCCAAGUGAUCAUGAUUCUGCUGGAAAGAGGAUUUUAAAUAUUGUGGGAGUUCUCCCACCCUAAGUCUUACAUAAUGCCACCAGUCCAUCCAAAACCUAUAUAUCACCUAUACUAUAUAUAUCAUAUAUAUAGUUGAAUGGCAGUAUUCAGGCUCAACGUACAGUUUGAUCCUGAGUAUGCUUGGUGUUUGCCUUCAGAAAAAAAAACACAAAACAUUGUAAAUAACCUCAGCUGGGAUGAGGAGUGACAGAAUAUCAAAAUAAUUUGUGGCUGUGGAUUUUUUUAACUGCUAGUAGUGGAAUACUGGAAAAGCUUCAUUUCUGAAGAUGAAUUUUAUUUUUAAAAAAUACAUGCACACUCAAAACUUUUAGCUUUGAUCACAAAUGGACAAAUUUCUGAAACCAAAGGCAACUAAGUUGCUCUGUUAGCUCUUGCUGGAUUUUGAGCCUAGGUCCUACUGUCUGCCAGUACUCAUGUGAGUUGUAUGCGCCCCCAGUGCUACAUACGCAGGUAUGCGUAAGUGUGUAUGCUUGUUUUAAACAAACACUCAACGUACAUAUGUACAUAAUCUACACAUAUUUAUAUCACAUAUCUAGUUUUAUUACUAUAGACUAUAUGAAUUGGUGGUUAACAUGAAAUGUUACCUUUUAACAGACUGUUUUUAAAAAUUAAAAAUGUAUGUAUAGGUUUUGAAAUUUUUUUAAAAGGGGAAAAAGACUGUUAAGAGGAGGCUAUUUGAUGACAUAACACUUGAAUAUUUUAUGCCUCAUUCUGUUUAUCAGUUCUCGCAAUCUGUAUAAAUGCAUUUUAGAACUGAUAGACAGUAAACUUGAAUUUAUCUUUGAUAAGAAUACAUGCCACUGUACAUUCAGAUAUUAUUUAAAUUUGCAAACACAUUGUUCUAUAUGUAAGGGUACUGUAUGUAAAACUCUUUAUUAAAACUAUUCCACAUAUCCU
This 3299-nucleotide small RNA is filed under the name Pan troglodytes (chimpanzee). RNAcentral's name for it is "retained intron". Lineage: Eukaryota; Metazoa; Chordata; Mammalia; Primates; Hominidae. The record is from RNAcentral.